UGGGGAAUAUUGCACAAUGGAGGGAACUCUGAUGCAGCGACGACGCGUGAACGAAGAAGGCUUUCGAGUCGUAAAGUUCUUUUAUAUGGGAAGAUAAUGACGGUACCAUAAGAAAAAGCCCCGGCUAACUACGUGCCAGCAGCCGCGGUAAUACGUAGGGGGCUAGCGUUGUCCGGAAUCACUGGGCGUAAAGGGUUCGCAGGCGGAAAUGCAAGUCAGGUGUAAAAGGCAGUAGCUUAACUACUGUAAGCAUUUGAAACUGCAUAUCUUGAGAAGAGUAGAGGUAAGUGGAAUUUUUAGUGUAGCGGUGAAAUGCGUAGAUAUUAAAAAGAAUACCGGUGGCGAAGGCGACUUACUGGGCUCAUUCUGACGCUGAGGAACGAAAGCGUGGGUAGCAAACAGG
RNAcentral lists this ribosomal RNA (403 nucleotides) under bacterium. Its description in RNAcentral is "partial 16S ribosomal RNA". It matches the Rfam family "Bacterial small subunit ribosomal RNA", at positions 355 to 776 of the family's 1533-position model. The record is from RNAcentral. RNAcentral also lists the same sequence under 1 other name.